This 336-nucleotide ribosomal RNA is filed under the name uncultured Micrococcineae bacterium. RNAcentral's name for it is "bacterial SSU rRNA". It matches the Rfam family "Bacterial small subunit ribosomal RNA", at positions 1 to 337 of the family's 1533-position model. Lineage: Bacteria; Bacillati; Actinomycetota; Actinomycetes; Micrococcales. The record is from RNAcentral.
UAGUGAGUUUGAUCCUGGCUCAGGAUGAACGCUGGCGGCGUGCUUAACACAUGCAAGUCGAACGGUGAAGCCAAGCUUGCUUGGUGGAUCAGUGGCGAACGGGUGAGUAACACGUGAGCAACCUGCCCCGGACUCUGGGAUAAGCGCUGGAAACGGCGUCUAAUACCGGAUAUGAACCACAGCCGCAUGGUUGGUGGUUGGAAAGAUUUUUUGGUUCGGGAUGGGCUCGCGGCCUAUCAGCUUGUUGGUGAGGUAAUGGCUCACCGAAGGCGUCGACGGGUAGCCGGCCUGAGAGGGUGACCGGCCACACUGGGGACUGACGACACGGCCCAGACU